Molecule: long non-coding RNA, 701 nt
Organism: Brassica napus (rape)
Lineage: Eukaryota; Viridiplantae; Streptophyta; Magnoliopsida; Brassicales; Brassicaceae
Exons: 3
Source: RefSeq, a predicted model, not a curated record
GGCGGAGAACACGACGAACUACGCCUCUCUCCUCUAUCUCUUCGAACACGAAAAACUAAUCCCUCUUGCCUGUUCAGUCGCUAUUAAUCUCGAUACAACUUCUCGCGGAUAAACAGGUUAAUUAGUUAACUCCUUUUGUAAUCAAAUUUUCCUUUCGUUAUGUUUGAUUCCUCUUAUACGUUUUUGGUAACCAAAUUUUUGUCCAAGCUGAAUCGUUCUAAAUAUGUAGUAAACCUAUCAUCUUAAUUCGUCGAUUAGUCACAUAAUUCGACUUUUGUUUUGGCGUUCACAGUUCACACUAAUGACUGUUGUUGUUGAUUCUUCCCAGGUUCUGAUUGCAUCGCCUCAAAGGUUUGUCAAUAUCGGUUAGUUUCUUUGUUAAUAUUGUGCCACACCAUCUCUUUCAUCACAUGAUCUUAGUCGGUUCUUUCUCUACAAUCAGCUGAUUGCUUCAUGACUUUCCUACUUUGGCGUAUUGAAACUCAUAUCCAGGAGCUGGAGGAGGAGCUUAAGCUUCUCAAGAAUCACUCUCAAGUCUCAACCAAAUAUAGUUAGAGAGAUAGACAAGGUUUUCUAAUAAGCAGCUUUUCCUUCGUCUCAGUGAGUCUCCUCUUUCCAUGGACGAUGGGAGAAGAAGAGAAGCGGGAAGAAAUAUGGAUGUUAUUAGUGAGGUAGCUGGAGCAUUGGCCACGGCUGAGGGA